CGGGGGGGGCAAGCGUUGUUCGGAAUUACUGGGCGUAAAGGGCGCGUAGGCGGCCUGCUAAGUCGGACGUGAAAUCCCUCGGCUCAACCGGGGAACUGCGUCCGAUACUGGUGGGCUCGAAUCCGGGAGAGGGAUGUGGAAUUCCAGGUGUAGCGGUGAAAUGCGUAGAUAUCUGGAGGAACACCGGUGGCGAAGGCGGCAUCCUGGACCGGUAUUGACGCUGAUGCGCGGAAGCCAGGGGAGCAAACGGGAUUAGAUACCCCGGUAGUCCUGGCCCUAAACGAUGAGUGCUUGGUGUGGCGGGUAUCGAUCCCUGCCGUGCCGAAGCUAACGCAUUAAGCACUCCGCCUGGGGAGUACGGUCGCAAGGCUG
This 372-nucleotide ribosomal RNA is filed under the name uncultured organism. Its description in RNAcentral is "bacterial SSU rRNA". It matches the Rfam family "Bacterial small subunit ribosomal RNA", at positions 526 to 896 of the family's 1533-position model. The record is from RNAcentral.